CCAGCCCGCUCAGAAACUACAAAGGAAUUGACGGGGGCCCGGCACAAGCGGUGGAGCAUGUGGUUUAAUUCGAUGAUACGCGAGGAACCUUACCUGGGCUCAAAUGUAUGUUGACGUAUUCUGAAAGGGAUACUUCUUCGGACAAUAUACAAGGUGCUGCAUGGUUGUCGUCAGCUCGUGCCGUGAGGUGUCGGGUUAAGUCCCAUAACGAGCGCAACCCCUAUCAUUAGUUGCCAUCAGGUCAAGCUGGGGACUCUAAUGAAACUGCCUACGCAAGUAGUGAGGAAGGUGGGGAUGACGUCAAAUCAGCACGGCCCUUACGUCCAGGGCUACACACGUGCUACAAUGGCCGGUACAGAGGGCAGCUACCUGGUGACAGGAUGCAAAUCUCCAAAGUCGGUCUCAGUUCGGAUCGGAGUCUGCAACCCGACUCCGUGAAGUUGGAUUCGCUAGUAAUCGCGCAUCAGCCAUGGCGCGGUGAAUACGUUCCCGGGCCUU
RNAcentral lists this ribosomal RNA (498 nucleotides) under uncultured Sphingobacteriales bacterium. RNAcentral describes it as "bacterial SSU rRNA". It matches the Rfam family "Bacterial small subunit ribosomal RNA", at positions 903 to 1382 of the family's 1533-position model. The record is from RNAcentral. Lineage: Bacteria; Pseudomonadati; Bacteroidota; Sphingobacteriia; Sphingobacteriales.